This 2896-nucleotide long non-coding RNA is filed under the name Homo sapiens (human). RNAcentral's name for it is "HSALNT0006361". The record is from RNAcentral. Lineage: Eukaryota; Metazoa; Chordata; Mammalia; Primates; Hominidae.
UUUCAUCCUAGAAAGUACAAUACAAAUAUUUUAAAUAAAAUGCCAGUUUAUAAAUGUUUGGAGAUACAACCACAAUAAUGAUUUGAGGGGAAAAAUCAGAGCUUUAAAUAGGGGUUUAAAUUUUAAUUCAGUUCAACAAAUAUGUGGUAUAAACCAUAUUCUGCCCAAAGCAUAAAGGAGAACCAAGGUUAGAUAAGAAAAGCAGGCCUUGCACAAAGGGCCCUCAAUCAACAGGCCCUAGAAAUUCUCUUCAAACUCCCAGAUUUCCCAGGACCUUAUCAUCAUAAUUUUUACGUUUAUCCAUGUGACCAUUUUUUCAUGAUGCCCUAAAAUCCAUGUAUCCAUAUGACAAUCCUCAAAUCUUGUCAAAUCGUUCGUUUAGUCUUUACUAACCCUCCUCUAGCGACACAGUUGCAGAAUUCUCUCUUUGUCUCAAAUUGCAUGAAGCUGCUCAUCAAUUCAAAGUACAGUUAAAUUUAGUCAAUCGGUUUUAUUCUUGUCUCCCCAUCCCAUUCCCACUUACCCACCUACUUACAUAAUUAACUGGUCACUUGAGCAGGCUUAGAAAUUUAGAAGAUUUACCUUGGCAGAAAGGACAAUAUCCAGAAAAUCCUGGUACUUCCUCUUCGGAGUGUUAUCCUGCUUUACCCCAGCCUGGAGGGAUUUCUUUCUUUCCUGGAUUAUUGUAUCUGGGUAGAAAAAUAGUUUCCAAUUACCAAAGUGAUGGCAAAGUCAAAUAAAUUAUAAAGCAAGCCAUGGUUAGUGAAUAGCUUCAAAUCUUGCCUGAUUUCCAGACGUUUAAAUAGAUCUAAUUUUCACAGAUGGUUUAUUUUCUCAUCAAAGGGACUUUUGAUUAAAGCUCCAAAGAUAAACAACACAAAUAAAAAACAUAGUUUCCAUCAGUAUGUGGGCAAUAAAAUUAAGAUGAUUUCAAGUUUAGAUGCAAGUGACCAAUUAUUCUUUUCUUCCUCAGUCUAAUAUUUUAUCUUCACGGAAAAGUUAUUAAAUAAAAUGGAAUGAAAUAGAAGACAGGCAAAGAAAUGCCAAUAUAUUUAUAAUUGAAGGAGCUGAGAGAAAAAAAACAAAACAAAAAUAUGGAACAGAGGUUUAUCCCUCUAGACAGACACAGUACAAUCAUGGCAGCGUAUGGACGUGGGCAACCCAAACCCAACAAAUACCUGUGUACUGAUUCAACACUCGGCUUAACUUCUGGAAGCGGUAGCCCUGAGGGCUGAGUUUGAAAAUUAUGUCACUGUGAUACAACAAACUGUACAAGCGGUGAAAUAUGAUUUUGCUGAGUUCAAAUAUGGCUUUUGCAUAAGGAUCAUGGGUGCUAGAAGAGAAAGUUGGGAUAAUGUGUUAAUAAACAACUUAGAAAAUGUGAAGAAAUAUCUUUUUUGCUCUCCCACCACUGACCUGUUUGUCUGGCAGUUGGUCUCCUUGCUGAAAGCGCAUUUCAUGAUUAUAUCCAGAGACAUCGAGUUGAUGUGCUCAUAGACCUCCACGCUUGUGUCCUGAGUGCUGCAAAUCUUCUCCCACUUAUCCUGGCACAGGAGGUCAAGACCAACAUCAUCACCACCACCAUGACCAAAUUGCCUUCAUUUGAAGGCUCCUGCCUGGCCCUGUUUUUAUGAUCUAAUGGAGACAACCCUGACCCAGCAGGAACCAAAGAUCACAUGAGUAAAUAAGCCAUGUGCUUACACAGGGCACGAGGAAGGGAAAAAUACACCCAGCGGAGUGAGAAGGAGCAUGGAGAAAACUGCAUAUAUGGUAAAUGGCUGAGUUAAAGAUCUGCGGCUUUUCAAUUAUUACCAUAACUCUGCUUUCAAACAGACCAGAGUUCCAUUAAAGCAAUCAUUGACACAAGACCCAUAAUUACAAGGGGUUUACCCCAGGGCUUCCUCCAACUUCAAUUCCAAACUUGCUAGGUACCCUGCCACUGCUCUCAACCACCAUAGCCACAUUUAAAAUAAACUCAGAACAUUUUCAAAAACGUUUGGAUUCAAAAGUGAGAAACAGAGCAAGUGUGGAGAGGAGCUGCUGCAGGGAGCUGCCCCCAGCAAAGCCUGACCUGGCUUAACUUCCCCACAAAGAGACCUACUUAUACUGCUUGAAAUGCUUUGCCUGACAUUUUUAAACUGUCACAAGGUCCCUGGUUGAAAAUGUAUUUGUAUAAUAAGCAUACUUUGUGUAAAAAUUAAAAUAAAUUGAAAUUUUAAAAGUUCAGGUCGACCGAUAGGUCUUAAGCACCUAGCCCCUAGCUUAAGACCUAUCGGUCAACCUGAACUUUUAAAAUUUCAGAGACUUGGCAACCACAAAGGCAAAGAGAAUUUUAAAAACUUUUUCCUAAGUGCAAAUUGUUUAGUCAAAGAGCCUUUUUCUCAAUUACGUAAGUUUUACUAAGAACAAAUGGUGAAUGUAGAAGAAAUGAGAACAGGAGGGAGGCUUCCAAGCUUGAAAAACUCUGGAAUGAUGCAGCAGAGGAAGGAAGUGUGAGAAAAAUCCCGGAGAAAUAUGUGGCUGAGAAAUGAGGAGGGGAGGAAGCGCUCCGAGAAAUAGAGAGAAAACUCUAAUGCAACUCCAGUGCAGUCACUGGAGGAUCUGAAACUGUGCUGCACCUGAACAGCACUAGAGUCACAAAAGGAUGCUCUUCUCUCUCACUAGCUUGCACUGCACAGUCUCUGGGUCUCUGCCUUGAGAACUCACACUGAUGUUUUUACCACAGUCCUGGCUGACUUCGGGUUCAAACUGCUUCUGUGAGUUUGGCUGAGAACCCAAUCAUUGAGCUGGUAACAGAGGUUUGUAUGGGAACAGGGAUGGGUUUGCACAUGAAGUGAGAGGAAAACUUUGUCUUUGUUUGUGGUGUUUGAGGUGUCUAUGAUGAAAGUGUAUUAGU